CAUAUACUCCCUCCGUCCGAAAAAACUUGUCUCAAUCUUAUUUCUUAAAUGGAUGUAUCUAGCACUAGCUUGGUGUUAGAUACAUCAAUUUGAGGGACAAAUUUUUUCAGACGGAUGGAGUAGCAC
Non-coding RNA from Triticum aestivum (bread wheat), 126 nucleotides. The record is from Rfam. Lineage: Eukaryota; Viridiplantae; Streptophyta; Magnoliopsida; Poales; Poaceae.